AAAUUAGAAAGCGAAAAAUUGCAUUUAGUUUCGGCCUAAAUUAUGAUCUUCAGAUCUCUAAUU
RNAcentral lists this transfer RNA (63 nucleotides) under Cherax sp. HG-2014b. Its description in RNAcentral is "tRNA-Arg". Lineage: Eukaryota; Metazoa; Arthropoda; Malacostraca; Decapoda; Parastacidae. The record is from RNAcentral.